GGGGAGAUGGCCGAGCGGUCAAUGGCUGCAGACUGUAAAUCUGCCGGCGGAUGCCUACGGAGGUUCAAAUCCUUCUCUCCCCA
This 83-nucleotide transfer RNA is filed under the name Candidatus Tariuqbacter arcticus. RNAcentral describes it as "tRNA-Tyr". It matches the Rfam family "tRNA". From Rfam's summary of the family: Transfer RNA (tRNA) molecules are approximately 80 nucleotides in length. Their secondary structure includes four short double-helical elements and three loops (D, anti-codon, and T loops). Further hydrogen bonds mediate the characteristic L-shaped molecular structure. tRNAs have two regions of fundamental functional importance: the anti-codon, which is responsible for specific mRNA codon recognition, and the 3' end, to which the tRNAs corresponding amino acid is attached (by aminoacyl-tRNA synthetases). tRNAs cope with the degeneracy of the genetic code in two manners: having more than one tRNA (with a specific anti-codon) for a particular amino acid; and 'wobble' base-pairing, i.e. permitting non-standard base-pairing at the 3rd anti-codon position. Lineage: Bacteria; Pseudomonadati; Candidatus Electryoneota; Candidatus Tariuqbacteria; Candidatus Tariuqbacterales; Candidatus Tariuqbacteraceae. The record is from RNAcentral.